Magallana angulata is the source of this 478-nucleotide long non-coding RNA. RefSeq lists it as uncharacterized. The transcript has 3 exons. The record is from RefSeq and is a predicted model, not a curated record. Lineage: Eukaryota; Metazoa; Mollusca; Bivalvia; Ostreida; Ostreidae.
AAGUAUGUCGUAGUACAAAAAAGCUAUACACAGUUUAAUUGAACUCUUUUAACGAGGGAGAUGAGAUAAGAUUAACAUCACCAAAACGCUAAGAAAAUAUCUCAAAAGCUUUCAACUAACAUUGAUUAUCAGCUUUUUUGUACGGAAAACAUAAAAUUUAAACAAUAUACUGUUUUCCUGCUACUAGCAAUACAUUUCAGUCAUGUAAUCUGCAACAGACGAUCAUAAAUAUGUGACGGAUUAUCGAUAAAGAUAUAGUUAGAUAGCAAAAGCAGCGGAAGCCCAAAUUUUCAAGCCAAAUGAGGGAACGACAGACAAUUGAAAAAGAACAUGUUUUUUAUUACCGCACGUACAUGUGUUUCACUAUGGACAUCUAAUAUUUUUGUGGGAUUUCAUCCAGCAGGUUGCCUUCAAAGAAUUUUUUAUAUAUUUUAGUUUCAUAUUUAUUUGGAUUCCAAUAAAAGUCUUACAAAUUUUA